AUUUGAUCUCAAAUCAGGUAGGACUACCCGCUGAAC
This 36-nucleotide ribosomal RNA is filed under the name Tomentella sp. BP96974. RNAcentral describes it as "partial 28S ribosomal RNA". Lineage: Eukaryota; Fungi; Basidiomycota; Agaricomycetes; Thelephorales; Thelephoraceae. RNAcentral also lists the same sequence under 1 other name. The record is from RNAcentral.